GCUGGGCAGGCACUAGCAAGCAGGAGAAGGUCUGCCUCCGCUAGAGCCUCGCUAGUGGGAAUCCCUACUGACAGCCCUGCUUCGCACUGGGGAGGGGGGAAGCAGAACCUUGUCUGCUCGUUGACAAGGGACAGAGCUUUGAUCGCUCUUCUCCAGCCCUGACUUGGCCCGAGGUUUAGAUCCCCAGUCCCGAAGUCCACGGGCUCUCCUCACUCCUGCACGCACCCACUCGCACACACCCCUUUGCCGACAGAUCCGUGUCACGGCUGUAACUGAGGCACACAGCAAUAAACAUAGCAGAACCAAUCUCCAUGGUGGCAAGAGGGGGCACUGGAGGUGACAACAAUGGAGAAGGAUCUUUCUGCUGACAAGUUUUAGGAUUUGCUGACAGAGCCCCAAAGAUGCCAGAGAUCAUCCUCAUCUCGCCGUGCGCUCUCUCCACAGAUGGCUGGGGCUCAUGGAGCCAUCACUGCCCCUCCAAUGCAGCCUGCACUUCAAGGGGCUUCACUCCAAGUGCCGCAGGCCUCCAGGCUGAGACACAGUGGAUGAUUGAUUGUACCCGCCAGCUGGCUAAUAUCAUAAUUAACAAAGUUGCUACCAUGUCUGAGAAGUUUAAUCGAAAAAAUUGCUGGCAGUAUGAUACCAUUGUCACAGAGAUCACAAGCACUGCAGUGUCGACUUUUGUACUGUUGGAGCCGCAGGACUAUGUAGAUGUGCAGAGAAGUCGUUCGCUGGGAUAACUGAUGGGUGACACAUGAAGCUAUUCUGUUGUAUUUUAAAGCAGUGGCAAUGGCAAUUUCGAAUGUUUUAUCAGUGCAACAAAAGUGAGCUGUGCUUGCAGACGGUGCAUGACUGGGCUCUGCUGGAGCUGCCCAGUGGCAUCCUUCCUCUGUUCUGCUCGUCGCCGCUGGAGCAGCCGUGCUACAGGGAUGCCGAACCUGGGAGCUACUGCCUGAGACAAACCCUCAUGCAGGGAUGUCAGCAGAAGCACAUGGAGGCAUGUCAGUAAGGUUUAGUUGGUGGAUCACAUUUUGAAAUCGGCAGCCAUGAAAAGACCUCCAUUUAUUGCACCCUUCAAAACAAAAUAUUAUCAUGGGAGGCUAAGCUGGGUGUUAUGGAGUAAUGACUUCAAGUUCUGCUUCAGAGGUAACUCCAUGGCACUACAAGGAGAGCUGUGAAUGAAAAAUGGAGGCUAAUAACGAAGGAGUCAGUGAAGGAGACCAAUGCCACAAGGGUUAUCUCGCAGCCCCAGAUGCUGGAUAAGUUGGAAGAGGCAGAAUCGCUUUUGGAUGACAUUCAGGAAGGCCUUGAAUGAUUAUUUGGUGAAGAAAAGACUAUUCUUUCCAAGGUUUUUUUUUUCUCAAUGCAGCAAUGAUCUUUCAAGAAUCCUUUCUGAGACAAAGGAUCCACUCCACAUCCAGCCACACCUAAAGAAAUGCUUUGAAGGAAUUGCCAAGCUCACUUUUAAUCAUGAGAAAGAAAUUACCCACAUGGAGUCAGCAGAAAAUGAAAAAGUAGAGCUCGUGCUGUGAAUAAUUCCAGCAAGUGCCAAGGGGCUAGUUGAGCAAUGGCUUCAUGAGGUGAAUAUCUUUAGCUCUUACUUAGGGUUUAGUUACUGUAUAAUCAUUUUCUCUUUUAGGAGCAAUGAAUAUCAUAAGCAUAUUUCCUACCUAAACAGCUCUUUGAAUAUUUGUCAAGAUGUUGACAGAUUUCAGCCUUAUUGUUGUUAUUUAUUGCAGAUAAUAUAGCAACUCCAAGUGUGCAAAAAUUAAUUUUAAUAAAAAGCUCUCCAAGUCAGGCUGUCAGCAGAAGUGGAUCUGUGUCUGAAACCAUGUAUGUGAAUAUAUGUCUGAGUCUACAUGUAUGUGUUUUUGUGCUUUCAUGGUGUAAUGUCUGUAGCUGAGGAGGAAAACAUUUUAAAAUUAACCAGAGAAAUAUAAGAUUUCAAAUGCAUCCCAUCCUGUACAGAUGUGUUCCAUUAUAUCAGAAGGAUUCUAUUUCCAAUGUCUUUUAACAAGAACAAAGAGAAAUUAUGUCACUGAUAACGCCCUAACCUUUCCCCUUGGAGCCUCUCAUCCAAAUUCAUUGUUUUCAGCAUGAAAUUACUUUGGUGACCUUUUUGUUGAUGUUCUUGUUGUUCAUUUUAUUUAACCUUCCUUUGUUAAAGGUUGGGAAUGGGCCCUUUUGUUGUUCUUUGUUUCUGGGCCAAAAGCCCAUCCCCUACCCCCUACACCUCCCUUUCUUUUGGGGCAGGAUCAGCCCCGGGUAGGCAGGGGUUGACAGCUAGUGAGAUGGGGUAGCUGGAGGAGCACUAUUUCCAUCCCCAGCUGAUUUAUUGGACUCCCUGGGUGCCAAGGAACAGUGAAGCCUGGUGCAGGCAGUGAGUUCCAUCAUAUGUUGCUUUUCUGCUGUCUGGUUGAACAAAGUUGAGCCCCUUGAGCCAUCUUGUGAGGCCUUGUUUCCCACUGCACUGAGUUGUGUGGCAGCAAUGUGCCAGGUUGUGGCUGAGCCACUUCUUACAGUGACUUAUUCAAGAUGGUCCAUCAGCAGCAUCCUUUGGGGUAAGGGAGGAAAACAUUACAGGAUUUAGACAAACACAAACCCUUCUACCCUGUUCUCUGUGUCACGUGUCUAGCUUGAUGUUUGGACAAAUUUUCAGCACAGAGUUAUCUUCCUGGGGAAAAGUUUUCAUAAAAAAUUGCAGUGGGUAAAUGGCAAUACUGAGGUUCCCAGGAAAAGCCUAAUUCUCAGUUACACUAAGCAUGCAAUAUACUUUUCAGUUUUUUAUUUUUCCCACAAAUGAUGAAGAUUUGGGGAUGUGAGCAGCUGUGUUUAUUUUAAUACAUUUCAUUUAACCUUCACCUAAAAACAAAUUGGAAGGUUUGGGAGUGCAUUAAUCUGGACCCAAUUAGUGUCUCUUCUUCUCUCAAAAGUGCAACCUGAGAUUAAUGAAUAUAAACUAGAGUUUCAUAUGCAGUCUUUAAAUCAUUUGCAUGUUUUAUGCAUGAUAAUUGAAUUUAUUUAUGCACUUCCUUUCAUUUAAUGAUUUCUUGCUCUUUUCUGUGCUAUCAACAUCAUAUUAUGCAAGAAAUAGGAUUUGGUAGGCAAGAAAGAAUAGGAGUACAUAUAUCAAACCUAAGGUAAUUUUUAGUUCUAGUGUCAACAGUACAUCACUGUUAAUUUUGGUAUCAUGCAAGGUGGGUACAUAGCUGGAAAAAUAUAAAAUAUUUUUGGUGAAGGCUUUUAGCUUAACAAGACAUUUCUGAUGCAGCCUAGUUUGCUUGCAAGUGUGCAAGCAAAAUUAUUUUCAAAUGGCAGUUAAAUUAUUGUAUUGACUUUUCAAUGACCCUGGAGACUUGUGUUUCAACUUGGCCAAUUAGUAGUAAUAAGAAGAUGAAUAGUAAUUACAUUAAUAAAUAACUGUUUUCAGACCAGGAGCUCAGUAUCAUAGUCUGGCUAAGAAAAUAAGGGCAUAUUAUAAUUUGUCUCAUUUUGUCUUUGAUCGGGAGAAAUAGAGACUUUGGAACUAUAGUAAAUAGCUCAUAGCCCAGAAUGUAGCAAUCCUAGGGACUAGUGAGCCAUAUCAGCUAGCAGCUCUGUGGUAGUAGCUGUUUCAGUGCCAUGAGUAGGGAAUUUUGCUUUGUUUCUCUACUUAAGCUCAGAUGUCUUGAAGAUUUCUCUAGUGAUUGUCUCUGCCUUUUUUAUAAAGCACGCCAGGAAGCCACUAUGGCAAAGAAUUUUAGUAAGAUGCUGGUAGUGGUGCUUUCAAAGCCUUAACCUAUACCAGAUUCUAUUUUGUCUCGUCUUCCCUUAUGUGUUGAAAGAUGUAUGUGGAAGUGACAUUUUUCUGUGGUGUCUUGUCUUUUAUCAGUGGAUUAAAUGGUUGUGUGUUGUGAUUGUUUCCUGAUUCUUGUAGGUAGGAAUGUGUUUAAAGGCAAAAGCUCUGUUAAUUUGUGAUGUAACCAUUUCAGUGUGUUCCUUGUCAUUGAAAUGUAGUUUCAAAUGUUCAGUAAUGUAGCAUGAAAUGAUUGGUUAGUUUUGGAGUGGUGGUGAAAUCAUGUGAAGAAAAUAAGUAUUGCAUCUGAUCAAGAUAAAUUCACUCUAGUGUUUUAUGGCUUUUUAUUCCUAUGUGAUAGUAAUAAAGUCUCAUGUAGGGAUGGAAGCCAUGAAAUACAUUGUGAAAAAUCAUCAACUCAGAUGGGGCCAUCAGGAUAGCAUGCUGUAGUUGUAGAGUUAUUGAGAAUGAUUGGAAGAUGAUUUAGUAUGCCACCAUGUUGACUACCACGUUAUUCAUUUUGCUUCUUCAUCCCUUACUCAUGUAGUUUGAUGAGAGGAAAUAAGUUUCUAAUGAGCUGAUCCAUCUUCACAUCAGUGUUCAGUGUUUAUACCAUUCAUACAUCUUUCAUUUUCUGCUAAAGAUAACACUGUAUAUGAAACACCAAGCUAAGAAUUUAAUGUAUCUAAUAAACAAAUGCCAAAAUGAAUACCAGGAAAAGCCAACAAAUUAGUAAAUGCUUGAAAAUUAAGGACAAAACAAAACAAGGUCUACCCUGUUAGCAAGUGAUCCAGGUUCUUUACUUCCAUGUUCAAAAGCAAAUCUGAGUGAUGAUCUGGGGAUUGAUGAAGAAUUCUCUUUCCCCACUUUCUUGUCCUUGUGAAAGUGCAUGAUCUUUUCUCAUUCUGGAACUGAGAUAAAAGCUGAUAGUGUUGAGAACAGAAAACAAUCCCUGACAAUUUCUUUGCAUUGCUGCCAUUCCACAUAGUGCCUUACCACUCUGCUUGGCUCCUGGGUACCAGUUUCCUUUGGGAAUAUUUUUGAGUAGGCUAUUUGUUCUGCUACAGCUGUUUACAAUUUUCAUUCUGUAUUCUUUCUCUUAAAAAUAUACUAAUAAAACUAUUGAUUUUUUGUA
This is a long non-coding RNA of Numida meleagris (helmeted guineafowl), 4910 nucleotides long. RefSeq lists it as uncharacterized. The record is from RefSeq and is a predicted model, not a curated record. NCBI's taxonomy places the organism in Eukaryota, Metazoa, Chordata, Aves, Galliformes, Numididae. The transcript is spliced from 9 exons.